This is a long non-coding RNA of Oncorhynchus keta (chum salmon), 1041 nucleotides long. RefSeq lists it as uncharacterized. Lineage: Eukaryota; Metazoa; Chordata; Actinopteri; Salmoniformes; Salmonidae. The record is from RefSeq and is a predicted model, not a curated record. The transcript is spliced from 2 exons.
GAGAGAGAGAGAGAGAGAGAGAGAGAGAGAGAGAGAGAGAGAGAGAGAGAGAGAAAGGAAGAAAGUGUGAGAGAGAGAGAGAGAGAGAGAGAGAGAGAGAGAGAGAGAGAGAGAGAGAGAAAAGGAGGGGGCAAUAGUUCAUACUUAUGCCUUCCUACACUUUACACCUCUCACAGCUCUUGGACCAACUCAGAAAUUGAGUGAGGAGAACACGGCGAUGUACCGCUUAUCUCAGCAGCUCUCUUUGUACAGAAGCCACCUCGCCUGCCAUUCCUCCGGUAACCACGGAAACACAGAGACCUGAGCCCUAGGACCAUGCCCCAGGACUACCUGACAUGAUGACUCCUUGCUGUCCCCAGUCCACCUGGCCAUGCUGCUGCUCCAGUUUCAACUGGCCUGGGCCCUAGGACCAUGUCCCAGGACUACCUGACAUGAUGACUCCUUGCUGUCCCCAGUCCACCUGGCCAUGCUGCUGCUCCAGUUUCAACUGUUCUGCCUUACUAUUAUUCAACCAUGCUGGUCAUUUAUGAACAUUUGAACAUCUUGGUCACGUUCUGUUAUAAUCUCCACCCGGCACAGCCAGAAGAGGACUGGCCACCCCACAUAUGCUCUCUCAUUCUCUCUUUCUUUCUCUCUCUCGGAGGACCUGAGCCCUAGGACCGUGCCCCAGGACUACCUGACAUGAUGGCUCCUUGCUGUCCCCAGUCCACCUGACUGUGCUGCUGCUCCAGUUUCAACUGUUCUGCCUUAUUAUUAUUCGACCAUGCUGGUCAUUUAUGAACAUUUGAACAUCUUGGUCAUGUUCUGUUAUAAUCUCUACCCGGCACAGCCAGAAGAGGACUGGCCACCCCACAUAGCCCGGUUCCUCUCUAGGUUUCUUCCUAGGUUUUGGCCUUUCUAGGGAGUUUUUCCUAGCCACCGUGCUUUUACACCUGCAUUGUUUGCUGUUUGGGGUUUUAGGCUGGGUUUCUGUACAGCACUUUGAGAUAUCAGCUGAUGUACGAAGGGCUAUGUAAAUACAUUUGAUUUGAUUUGAUUUGA